GUGGGGAAUCUUAGACAAUGGGCGCAAGCCUGAUCUAGCCAUGCCGCGUGAGCGAUGAAGGCCUUAGGGUUGUAAAGCUCUUUCGUGGGGGAAGAUAAUGACUGUACCCCAAGAAGAAGCCCCGGCUAACUCCGUGCCAGCAGCCGCGGUAAUACGGAGGGGGCUAGCGUUGUUCGGAAUUACUGGGCGUAAAGCGCACGUAGGCGGACUGGAAAGUCAGGGGUAAAAUCCCGGGGCUCAACCCCGGAACUGCCUUUGAAACUCCCAGUCUUGAGGUCGAGAGAGGUGGGUGGAAUUCCGAGUGUAGAGGUGAAAUUCGUAGAUAUUCGGAGGAACACCAGUGGCGAAGGCGGCCCACUGGCUCGAUACUGACGCUGAGGUGCGAAAGCGUGGGGAGCAAACAGGAUUAGAAACCCGUGUAGUCC
Molecule: ribosomal RNA, 425 nt
Filed under: uncultured bacterium
Lineage: Bacteria
Description: partial 16S ribosomal RNA
Rfam family: Bacterial small subunit ribosomal RNA
Source: RNAcentral